AUCCUUUCGGUAGAAAGAACAUGAUGAUUGGUUUACUCACAUUACUUUGUGAGACGCGCCACCAGCUUACCUUGUUGCAAUGGUGCGUGAACUAUCUGAUC
Small nucleolar RNA from Puntigrus tetrazona (Sumatra barb), 101 nucleotides. RefSeq annotates it as small nucleolar RNA U13. The transcript has a single exon. Lineage: Eukaryota; Metazoa; Chordata; Actinopteri; Cypriniformes; Cyprinidae. The record is from RefSeq and is a predicted model, not a curated record.